GUGUAUAAUUUGCUUCACUUUAAAUAAAUGCAUUGCUUUCAUCGCACAAAGUCCAACAUUUUGUUCCUAUUUCCUCGCAUCCCCACAGUCUGCCAGCGCAGCCCUGACAAAGGGAAGGAAAAACUCCCUUUUAACAGGAAGAAACCUCCAGGAGAACCAGGCUCGGGGAGGAGCAACUAGCUACUACGACUGGUUGGGGUCCAGUAAGUUUUUUCCAUUCACCCCUUUCCACAUAUGUCAGUGAUGCCCACGGGAAUACUGAAGAGUCCUCAGACAGUAAAGUUGGGCAAUAUGUAAAGAUUUUCCAACCAACAUGCAUCAGUCCAAUAACAGACGAUAGGCGAUAUAUUCACGCAGGUGACUUUUUGAUGGACGUAAUGUAAUCAUGCAUGGACUGAUUUGCGUGUUUAGAAUUUAUAAGUUGUGUUUGGAGGGAAUAUUUUACCUUCUUUUCUUGUUUGUUUCAGUAUUAAUAUAGCUACUUUUUAGAUUUUUCAUUUAUUUAUUCAUUUAUUCAGAUGCGCUAAAUCGCACAAAAGACAACAUUACGUCAGAGAUUUUUUUUUAAUGUUCACUGGAAGACACAUUUUGAUUUUUAACUUGUGGGUUUUUUUUUUAAUUUAGAUAAAAUGUUUUUUUUUCUGAGCAUAGGCUGCUGCCUUUCUUUCUGUUAUGAGUUUCAGUAAACAAAUUGCUGCAUUUGGGCGCAGCUGAAAGAGGGUGCUGUUAAAACAGCGCUGACUGCAUCUCUUAGCUUCAGCCAACAACAUUAGCAAACGUACUCAUUGGCAAAUAAAUAAAUAAAUACACUCUACUUUUGUAUACACUCUUUUUGACCAGUCAUUGAAUUUGUUUGUCAUUAUAAGUUAGUAAAGCACAGAAAGAAAACAGCUGUAGACACUGACAGGCCACCAGCCUGGUAAGUUGGGUAAGUGGAGAUUUUUAGACAGUGGAGGUCAUUUUGUAACAAAUAUUAAAGCAGCUGUUAUUUACAGAACGUUUUUGCUCCAGGAGUGCUGCAUCUUGCACAACUUAGUGGUGUAUUCAGGCUAAUCAAACACCUGACACGGCAACUCUCAUCUGAACACAGAGGGGCCAACCUAUUAUUGAUCAAACUCUAAGUGCUGAAUGCAUUGAUCAUCUAUUUUAAGUGUUCCUACACUGUGGAAAGGAAUAUUAGUGUGCACAUGAACUGGUGCAGGAUGUCUAAGUUGCACUGACAAUAUGGCUUUUAUAGGCAAUAUUCAGAUAAAUG
Molecule: long non-coding RNA, 1255 nt
Organism: Astatotilapia calliptera (eastern happy)
Lineage: Eukaryota; Metazoa; Chordata; Actinopteri; Cichliformes; Cichlidae
Source: Ensembl